Long non-coding RNA from Ochotona curzoniae (black-lipped pika), 444 nucleotides. RefSeq lists it as uncharacterized. The record is from RefSeq and is a predicted model, not a curated record. The transcript has 3 exons. Lineage: Eukaryota; Metazoa; Chordata; Mammalia; Lagomorpha; Ochotonidae.
UAGCAGACACACAGGUCACCAGGGCGUCUAGAGCCGCGGAAGGACCAGGUCACCCGGGCCCUGAUCCCAGGGUGUCAGAUGGGCGAGCAUGGGUGAAGAGGAGCACGGUUAACCAGGAAAACCAGACAGAGUCAAGCAAGCCUCUCCCUGCCCCGGAAGUCUCCCCAGUUUGAUGUGGCACAACUAGGAUUCCAGCAGAUUCUGAAUCACCAUGCUCCUGCCCGUGCCUGCCGGCAGGUCGGUGAUCUUCAUGAGCAUCCUUGGGAACAUGUAGGGCUGACUGGGACGCCGACGCCGAGCGUACAGCCUCAGGGCUUCCAGCAGGGGCUCCUGCAGCUUGUCCACUUUCUCGGGCUCCUCCAGGUCCAUGCGAUCUACAGGGACAAGCGCAGUGGAGUGGAUCGGGUCAGGUGCGACAAUUCCGGCCGAGAGCAGUGAGGUCUC